Molecule: ribosomal RNA, 1436 nt
Filed under: uncultured Phycisphaeraceae bacterium
Lineage: Bacteria; Pseudomonadati; Planctomycetota; Phycisphaerae; Phycisphaerales; Phycisphaeraceae
Description: bacterial SSU rRNA
Rfam family: Bacterial small subunit ribosomal RNA
Source: RNAcentral
AUUAAACGCUGGCGGCAUGGCUAAAGCAUGCAAGUCGAACGAGAAGCAAUCUUCGGAUUGUAGACAGUGGCGAAAGGGCGAGUAAUGCAUUUCUGACGUACCCCAAGGUUCGGGACAGCCCGUGGAAACGCGGAUUAAUACCGGAUAUCUCUCUGACCUCCAAAAGAUCAGAUAGAAAGGCCUCGGUCGCCUUGGGCGCGGGAAAUGUCCUAUCAGGUUGUUGGUGGGGUAAUGGCCUACCAAGCCGAAGACGGGUAGCGGGUGUGAGAGCAUGACCCGCCGCAUCGGGACUGAGACACUGCCCGGACUCCUACGGGAGGCUGCAGCGACGAAUAUUCCGCAAUGCGCGAAAGCGUGACGGAGCAAUGCCGCGUGAAGGAUGAAGCAUUUCGGUGUGUAAACUUCUGUCAGGUCUUAGAAAGUACUGAUCAAGACCAAAGGAAGGGCCGGCUAAGUUCGUGCCAGCAGCCGCGGUAAUACGAACGGCCCGAGCGUUAAUCGGAAUCACUGGGCUUAAAGCGUACGCAGGCGGACUGGAUAGUACCUUGUGAAAUCCCUCGGCUCAACCGAGGAACUGCUUGGUAUACUGCCAGUCUUGAGUGUGGUAGAGGCGGUCGGAACGAUAGGUGGAGCGGUGAAAUGCGUAGAUAUCUAUCGGAACGCCAAAGGAGAAGUCAGGCCGCUGGGCCACCACUGACGCUCAUGUACGAAAGCGUGGGUAGCGAACGGGAUUAGAUACCCCGGUAGUCCACGCCGUAAACGAUGUGCACUAGACUCGGGAGGAUCUGACGCCCUCCGAGUCGCAGAGAAAUCAUUAAGUGCACCGCCUGGGGAGUACGGUCGCAAGGCUAAAACUCAAAGGAAUUGACGGGGGCUCACACAAGCGGUGGAGCAUGUGGCUUAAUUCGAAGCAACGCGAAGAACCUUAUCCUGGAUUGAACUACGGCGGAUUAGUGGUGUGAAAGCAUCAUGACGCAGUUUACUGUGGAACGUCGAUAGGUGCUGCAUGGCUGUCGUCAGCUCGUGCUGUGAAGUGUCGGGUUAAGUCCCUUAACGAGCGAAACCCCUGUCGUUAAGUUGCUAACAUGUAAUGAUGAGGACUCUAACGAGACUGCCGGUGUCAAACCGGAGGAAGGUGGGGAUGACGUCAAGUCCUCAUGGCCUUUAUGUCCAGGGCUGCACACGUGCUACAAUGGCGUAUACAGAGCGACGCGAGACCGCGAGGUGGAGCAAAUCGCAAAAAGUACGCCCCAGUUCGGAUUGGAGUCUGCAACUCGACUCCAUGAAGGUGGAAUCGCUAGUAAUCGCGUAUCAGCUACGACGCGGUGAAUACGUUCCUGAGCCUUGUACACACCGCCCGUCAAGUCAUGGAAGCCGGGAGUGCCCGAAGCCGCCCUGAAUCAGGGGUGUCUAAGGUAAGUUCGGUGACUGGGACU